RNAcentral lists this long non-coding RNA (1784 nucleotides) under Lactuca sativa (garden lettuce). RNAcentral's name for it is "long non-coding RNA (LSAT_LNC001840)". The record is from RNAcentral. Lineage: Eukaryota; Viridiplantae; Streptophyta; Magnoliopsida; Asterales; Asteraceae.
ACAACAACAACAGCAUAAUGAAGCACCUCCUCAAGUUUUAGAGACUACUGCAGAUGACCCAAAUCACACUACUACACAAUCUUGGCCAAACCUUUUUAAUCAUCUUCUAGAAUUUGAAAGUCAUAACCGUGGGUUCGGGCCCACACGGAUGCUGCCAUCUUCUACUGAUCCACUUCAAGCUGAGUUGGAAAAAUUAAGUGAACUGAAGAAUACUGUUAAUAAUUUUUAUGAAGCUAUUGUGAGUAUUGUCUAAUCCGUUUGACUACCUUACUUUACUUGACUAUUUAUAAACAUUUUUUGUUUUGUUUGUGUAGGAAUUAAUAUUUAAUGCUUGUUGGUGUCUGUUUUUGUGCUUGUGCAGAAGGUGAAGCUAAAAGCUGAGUAUGAGAAGGAAAGAGCAGAAAUUCUUGCUCGGCUUAAUCGUAAAUAUGAUGAUAAAUCUCAUAAAGCUGAGCUGGCGUUUCACACAAAAAAGAAUGAAAUUGAUAUCAAUUUUAAUAAAGUGGUAAGGAAUAAAAUAUUGGCGGACGCUUUCAGGUCAAAAUGCAGAGAUCUCAACCCUUUUGACCAUUCCCAAAUACAAAGUAGGUCUUCUUUCUUGACUUGUUGAUAGAUUGAUAUAUCUGUCUCUAUUUAGUAUUUACACUUGUCAAAAUGAUUUGUUUUUAGUUGUCACCAUCCAUAUUAUAUGUAUGACCUGCAGUUUUUCAAACAGGAGAAAUGCAGCAUCUGCAUCACUUUCAUGGUCAACAUUUCUCUUCACCAGGUCAAUCUUCCGGAAGCAACAAGCUGCACCAAACACCCCAAAUUGUUCAUCAGCCUGCAAAUCUUUUCUCACACGCACCUACCAGACCACAAUCUUACCCCAACUCAAUCACCCCACAACCAUCUAAUAUCAGCACCACCAUACCACCACCUACCAACAGCCCCGCUACCAGACUACCACCACACAUGAACCACCCUUCAAGCACACCACCAACCAGAUCACCACAAAUGAGCCUCCCUUUAAGCACACCAAACAAACCACCACCUAAUAUAACCUCCACCACCCCUUCUAUCAGAAACACACGAGUAACCGGUGAAAUCCGUGCUCCGGCCCCACAUAUUCGACCUUUUAAGCCUUCGACAGAGCACAGGGUGAUGUUAGGUCAGCAUGCAUCCAGCAGCCUGCCGCCAUCCUCCGCCACUUUUUCUCAUACUCCGUCUAAACCACCACUUGCACCGCCAUCACAAACACCAACAAAUCAUAACAACAGCCACCCUACUCAACCACCAUCAUCACAAAUGCCGACAAACCAUAACAGCCACCCUGCUCAGCCACAGCCAGUAGCACCAUCUGAGCAGCAUCCACCUGCCACAUCAUCAUCCUCACUGCCAUCGGUACCUGUAAGUCAGACUGGUCUUUAUAGCUCAUCAUCACCAUCACCAUCAUCAUCAGGUGGUUUUAUGAAUUUGCUUAUGGAUGUUGAUAAAGAAGCUGGUUUUCAUCAGAAAGAUAAUGUGUUGCCGAUGCCAUCUCCAUCUCCAUCUCCAUCUGAGGUAUUUGGUAAAUGUGGUGAUGGUGACCUAGUUUGUUUGUCGGAUGAUGAUUAAAUGUAGUGUUAUAGUUUCUAGACCUGUUUUUCUUAACAAACUUUUCUUUCAAGAAAAUCCUUACAUUUGCUAGUAGACACUAGACACUAGAACCAUAUUUUUCUCUAAACCCACAACAAUGAUUAAUCUCCGAUUUUAUAUUAAUAUACAAGAUAUAGUUUAAUGAGAGGUUACAGAUUUAUACAUUCAUC